ACAAGUGUCCCUUAUGGGCCAUUAGCAUGCUUAUGAAUAGUAUUUUCUCGUCUUUUUGUGAAAAAGUAACUUUAUUAUGUAUGCUUUAGAGAUAAGGGUGUCGGACUUUUGGAAAAAGGCAUUUCUAUAAUGCCAUGCUUGUAAUAGUAUUACUUUUGUCUUUUAUGCUCCUCCUUGCCUAUAAAAGGAGGGCUCUUGUAAACUAUUUUCACCAAGCAAUCAUAAAUAAAAACUCUUUGUGUGUUCAAGAACAACUAUGUUCUAA
RNAcentral lists this long non-coding RNA (265 nucleotides) under Lathyrus oleraceus (garden pea). RNAcentral's name for it is "Pisum sativum (pea) long non-coding RNA (PSAT_LNC019728)". Lineage: Eukaryota; Viridiplantae; Streptophyta; Magnoliopsida; Fabales; Fabaceae. The record is from RNAcentral.